CCUACGGGUGGCAGCAGUGGGGAAUAUUGCACAAUGGGGGAAACCCUGAUGCAGCGACGCCGCGUGAGUGAAGAAGUAUUUCGGUAUGUAAAGCUCCAUCAGCAGGGAAGAAAAUGACGGUACCUGUUUAAGAAGCCCCGGCUAACUACGUGCCAGCAGCCGUGGCAAUACGGAGGGGGCAAGCGUUAUCCGGAUUUACUGGGUGUAAGGGGGGCGUAGACGGCAGCACAAGUCUGGAGUGAAAUGCCGGGGCUUAACCCCGGAACUGCUGUUGAAACUGGGCAGCUAGAGUGCAGGAGAGGUAAGUGGAAUGCGUGGUGUAGCGGUGAAAUGCGUAGAUAUUAGGAGGAACACCGGUGGCGAAGGCAGCUUACUGGACUGUAACUGACGUUGAGGCUCGAAAGCGUGGGGAGCAAACAGGAUUAGAUACCCCUGUAGUC
This 440-nucleotide ribosomal RNA is filed under the name uncultured bacterium. RNAcentral describes it as "partial 16S ribosomal RNA". It matches the Rfam family "Bacterial small subunit ribosomal RNA", at positions 338 to 795 of the family's 1533-position model. The record is from RNAcentral.